Molecule: ribosomal RNA, 32 nt
Filed under: Platanus mexicana var. interior
Lineage: Eukaryota; Viridiplantae; Streptophyta; Magnoliopsida; Proteales; Platanaceae
Source: RNAcentral
GGGUGCAGUCAUACCAGCACUAAUGCACCGGA